GGAUCUGACCCUAGUACGAGAGGACCGGGUUGGACGAACCUCUGGUGUGUCAGUUGUUCCGCCAGGAGCACCGCUGAUUAGCUACGUUCGGGAUGGAUAACCGCUGAAAGCAUCUAAGCGGGAAGCCGGCCUCAAGAUGAGACUUCCAUGCCUUCGGGCGAGAGGCUCCCAGCCAGACUACUGGGUUGAUAGGCCGGAUGUGGAAGCGCGGUAACGCGUGAAGCUGACCGGUACUAAUAAGCCGAUGACUUGAUAAC
RNAcentral lists this ribosomal RNA (257 nucleotides) under Microbacterium ginsengisoli. Its description in RNAcentral is "partial 23S ribosomal RNA". It matches the Rfam family "Bacterial large subunit ribosomal RNA", at positions 2668 to 2925 of the family's 2925-position model. Lineage: Bacteria; Bacillati; Actinomycetota; Actinomycetes; Micrococcales; Microbacteriaceae. The record is from RNAcentral.